RNAcentral lists this ribosomal RNA (623 nucleotides) under fungal sp. RNAcentral describes it as "eukaryotic LSU rRNA". The stretch from base 154 to 307 matches the Rfam family "5.8S ribosomal RNA". Lineage: Eukaryota; Fungi. The record is from RNAcentral.
UCCAACCUCCCACCCGUGUUUAUUGUACCUUGUUGCUUCGGUGCGCCCGCCUCACGGCCGCCGGGGGGCUUCUGCCCCCGGGUCCGCGCGCACCGGAGACACUAUUGAACUCUGUCUGAAGAUUGCAGUCUGAGCAUAAACUAAAUAAGUUAAAACUUUCAACAACGGAUCUCUUGGUUCCGGCAUCGAUGAAGAACGCAGCGAAAUGCGAUAACUAAUGUGAAUUGCAGAAUUCAGUGAAUCAUCGAGUCUUUGAACGCACAUUGCGCCCCCUGGUAUUCCGGGGGGCAUGCCUGUCCGAGCGUCAUUGCUGCCCUCAAGCACGGCUUGUGUGUUGGGCUCCGUCCCCCCGGGGACGGGUCCGAAAGGCAGCGGCGGCACCGAGUCCGGUCCUCGAGCGUAUGGGGCUUUGUCACCCGCUCUGUAGGCCCGGCCGGCGCCAGCCGACAACCAAUCAUCCUUUUUUCAGGUUGACCUCGGAUCAGGUAGGGAUACCCGCUGAACUUAAGCAUAUCAAUAAGCGGAGGAAAAGAAACCAACAGGGAUUACCUCAGUAACGGCGAGGUGAAGCGGGUAAGAGCUCAAAUUUGAAAGCUGGCUUCCUUCGGGGUCCGCAUUGUAUU